CCUACGGGCGGCUGCAGUGGGGAAUAUUGGACAAUGGGCGAAAGCCUGAUCCAGCCAUGCCGCGUGUGUGAAGAAGGCCUUCGGGUUGUAAAGCACUUUCAGUGGGGAAGAAAGCCUUGGGGCUAAUACCCUCGAGGAAGGACAUCACCCACAGAAGAAGCACCGGCUAACUCCGUGCCAGCAGCCGCGGUAAUACGGAGGGUGCGAGCGUUAAUCGGAAUUACUGGGCGUAAAGCGCGCGUAGGCGGUCUGAUAAGCCGGUUGUGAAAGCCCCGGGCUCAACCUGGGAACGGCAUCCGGAACUGUCAGGCUAGAGUGCAGGAGAGGAAGGUAGAAUUCCCGGUGUAGCGGUGAAAUGCGUAGAGAUCGGGAGGAAUACCAGUGGCGAAGGCGGCCUUCUGGACUGACACUGACGCUGUGGUGCGAAAGCGUGGGUAGCAAACAGGAUUAGAUACCCUAGUAGUC
RNAcentral lists this ribosomal RNA (465 nucleotides) under Vreelandella stevensii. RNAcentral's name for it is "partial 16S ribosomal RNA". It matches the Rfam family "Bacterial small subunit ribosomal RNA", at positions 338 to 795 of the family's 1533-position model. The record is from RNAcentral. Lineage: Bacteria; Pseudomonadati; Pseudomonadota; Gammaproteobacteria; Oceanospirillales; Halomonadaceae.